UGGGGAAUAUUGGACAAUGGGCGCAAGCCUGAUCCAGCCAUGCCGCGUGAGUGAUGAAGGCCUUAGGGUUGUAAAGCUCUUUCACCGGGGAAGAUAAUGACGGUAUCCGGAKAAKAAGCSCCGGCUAACUUCGUG
RNAcentral lists this ribosomal RNA (135 nucleotides) under uncultured bacterium. Its description in RNAcentral is "partial 16S rRNA". It matches the Rfam family "Bacterial small subunit ribosomal RNA", at positions 355 to 507 of the family's 1533-position model. The record is from RNAcentral.